Molecule: ribosomal RNA, 459 nt
Filed under: uncultured bacterium
Lineage: Bacteria
Description: bacterial SSU rRNA
Rfam family: Bacterial small subunit ribosomal RNA
Source: RNAcentral
ACGCUGGCGGCGCGCCUAACACAUGCAAGUCGAACGAGCGAGAGAGAGCUUGCUUUCUCGAGCGAGUGGCGAACGGGUGAGUAACGCGUGAGGAACCUGCCUCAAAGAGGGGGGACAACAGUUGGAAACGGCUGCUAAUACCGCAUAAGCGCACAGUACCGCAUGGUACAGUGUGAAAAACUCCGGUGGUGUGAGAUGGACCCGCGUCUGAUUAGCUAGUUGGCAGGGCAACGGCCUACCAAGGCGACGAUCAGUAGCCGACCUGAGAGGGUGACCGGCCACAUUGGGACUGAGACACGGCCCAAACUCCUACGGGAGGCAGCAGUGGGGAAUAUUGCACAAUGGGCGAAAGCCUGAUGCAGCAACGCCGCGUGAGUGAAGAAGUAUCUCGGUAUGUAAAGCUCUAUCAGCAGGGAAGAAAUGACGGUACCUGACUAAGAAGCCCCGGCUAACUACGUG